RNAcentral lists this ribosomal RNA (510 nucleotides) under uncultured bacterium. RNAcentral describes it as "bacterial SSU rRNA". It matches the Rfam family "Bacterial small subunit ribosomal RNA", at positions 15 to 518 of the family's 1533-position model. The record is from RNAcentral.
GAUUCUGGCUCAGGAUGAACGCUAGCGACAGGCUAACACAUGCAAGCGAGGGGCAGCAUAGAAGUAGCAAUACGUUGGUGGCGACCGGCGCACGGGUGAGUAACGCGUAUGCAACCUACCUAUCGAGAGGGGAAUAACCCGGCGAAAGUCGGACUAAUACCGCAUAAAACAGGGGCACCGCAUGGUGAUAUUUGUUAAAGAAAUUCGCUGAUAGAUGGGCAUGCGUUCCAUUAGGUAGUUGGUGAGGUAACGGCUCACCAAGCCGACGAUGGAUAGGGGAACUGAGAGGUUGGUCCCCCACACUGGUACUGAGACACGGACCAGACUCCUACGGGAGGCAGCAGUGAGGAAUAUUGGUCAAUGGGCGGGAGCCUGAACCAGCCAAGUCGCGUGAAGGAAGAAGGAUCUAUGGUUCGUAAACUUCUUUUGCAGGGGAAUAAAGUGCAGGACGUGUCCUGUUUUGUAUGUACCCUGAGAAUAAGGAUCGGCUAACUCCGUGCCAGCCGCCGC